CACGCUGAAACACGAGCGGGAAGUAGUGAGGACCGGGCUCGACGCGGGACCUCACCGUCAAGUCAGUCUCCAAGCCGACGACUACGCCAAGAAAACAAGAAAAUUGAGAAAGCGAUUGGGGAAAAAUAUUAUGAAAUUCUGCAAAGGAAAAAAAUUGCUUUUGACGAAGGUUGAGGAAAUCAAUAAGAUUUUUGAGGUCGCCUAUGGAAGCAAAGACGCCCUUAAUGAAGAAGAAUACGCUAAGGCUAUUUCCUCAACGCCAAGAAUUCUUUUUGGCAUCAUUCUAAGUGGUUCUGUGACGGGGACACUGACUGUCACGUCAAACAUUGAUAUCAACAUCAGCAUUGGCUCGGCAUCUGGGUCGACUGGGACUUCAACCACUAAUACCAACACCAAUACUAAUACCAAUAAUAAUAAUAAUAAUAAUAACAAUAACAGUAAUGGUGGGAAUAACAAUAACAGUAACAGUAAUGGUGGAAAUAACAAUAACAACAAUAAUAAUAACAACAAUAAUAAUAAUAAUAAUAACAAUAAUAAUGGCUGAAAUUAAAAAAAAAAAGAAUUUCUGCAAGUUUCAAGUCAUGAAAUCAUUGAAGAGAUUAGACAUUACUUUGAAAAAAAAA
Molecule: non-coding RNA, 623 nt
Organism: Penaeus vannamei (Pacific white shrimp)
Lineage: Eukaryota; Metazoa; Arthropoda; Malacostraca; Decapoda; Penaeidae
Source: RefSeq, a predicted model, not a curated record